GGCCAUGGUCGUCAAGGAAACGAUCUGGAAAGGCAGGAAAACAAGUGCUGGGUUCAUGUGCUCUUUUGGAAUUUCAGUAUAUUUCCGAGGUGGUUGCGUUUGUGUUUGUGUGUGUUUUACCUGGGUUGAACAGGUCGGGUUUGUCCCAGUGUUGGGGGUCGUGAUGAAUCGACCACAUGUUGACCAAGACACGAGUCCCACGACGGACAGGAUGACCUCCAAUACUGCAGGAGAGGGAGAGGGGCAGGCCAACCUGCUGUCAGUCAUGGCGGUGUGUGGGAUCAGCACAGGGCUAACUGGACGGAUCCUCAUCCCCUCGUUGAUGACACAGUCCAGCAGAUAGGCCAGGAUCCACAGCAGUGUGGUGGAUGUCGUCUCAACUCCGGCCCCAAAAGCCUCCGCCGCAGUCAUCAGGACAUGGUCAUCUGUUAUCCUCUCAUCCUCCGACCCAGACGGUUUCGGACCCCGGCCGCU
Molecule: long non-coding RNA, 474 nt
Organism: Scatophagus argus
Lineage: Eukaryota; Metazoa; Chordata; Actinopteri; Scatophagidae
Exons: 3
Source: RefSeq, a predicted model, not a curated record